GAGCCAGUGGUCUAGUGGCUAUGACAGCGCCCUUACAAGGCGUUAAUCGGAGGUUCGAGUCCUCCCUGGCUCA
Molecule: transfer RNA, 73 nt
Filed under: Candidatus Woesearchaeota archaeon
Lineage: Archaea; Nanobdellati; Candidatus Woesearchaeota
Description: tRNA-Val
Rfam family: tRNA
About the family: Transfer RNA (tRNA) molecules are approximately 80 nucleotides in length. Their secondary structure includes four short double-helical elements and three loops (D, anti-codon, and T loops). Further hydrogen bonds mediate the characteristic L-shaped molecular structure. tRNAs have two regions of fundamental functional importance: the anti-codon, which is responsible for specific mRNA codon recognition, and the 3' end, to which the tRNAs corresponding amino acid is attached (by aminoacyl-tRNA synthetases). tRNAs cope with the degeneracy of the genetic code in two manners: having more than one tRNA (with a specific anti-codon) for a particular amino acid; and 'wobble' base-pairing, i.e. permitting non-standard base-pairing at the 3rd anti-codon position.
Source: RNAcentral